GGGUGAGUAAUGCCUAGGAAUCUGCCUGGUAGUGGGGGACAACGUUUCGAAAGGAACGCUAAUACCGCAUACGUCCUACGGGAGAAAGCAGGGGACCUUCGGGCCUUGCGCUAUCAGAUGAGCCUAGGUCGGAUUAGCUAGUUGGUGAGGUAAUGGCUCACCAAGGCGACGAUCCGUAACUGGUCUGAGAGGAUGAUCAGUCACACUGGAACUGAGACACGGUCCAGACUCCUACGGGAGGCAGCAGUGGGGAAUAUUGGACAAUGGGCGAAAGCCUGAUCCAGCCAUGCCGCGUGUGUGAAGAAGGUCUUCGGAUUGUAAAGCACUUUAAGUUGGGAGGAAGGGUUGUAGAUUAAUACUCUGCAAUUUUGACGUUACCGACAGAAUAAGCACCGGCUAACUCUGUGCCAGCAGCCGCGGUAAUACAGAGGGUGCAAGCGUUAAUCGGAAUUACUGGGCGUAAAGCGCGCGUAGGUGGUUCGUUAAGUUGGAUGUGAAAUCCCCGGGCUCAACCUGGGAACUGCAUUCAAAACUGUCGAGCUAGAGUAUGGUAGAGGGUGGUGGAAUUUCCUGUGUAGCGGUGAAAUGCGUAGAUAUAGGAAGGAACACCAGUGGCGAAGGCGACCACCUGGACUGAUACUGACACUGAGGUGCGAAAGCGUGGGGAGCAAACAGG
Molecule: ribosomal RNA, 676 nt
Filed under: Pseudomonas sp.
Lineage: Bacteria; Pseudomonadati; Pseudomonadota; Gammaproteobacteria; Pseudomonadales; Pseudomonadaceae
Description: bacterial SSU rRNA
Rfam family: Bacterial small subunit ribosomal RNA
Source: RNAcentral